Molecule: long non-coding RNA, 412 nt
Organism: Dreissena polymorpha
Lineage: Eukaryota; Metazoa; Mollusca; Bivalvia; Myida; Dreissenidae
Exons: 4
Source: RefSeq, a predicted model, not a curated record
CUACAAUCAAAAAUAAAUCGCGUGCUAUAAGUCGCAAAAUCACUUUUGGUUCCGACACUCGAAGAAGAAACUCAGCCAACUGUGCUUCAAAAUAAUUAUACGUGAUACAGCUCCACUAUGAACAAAAUUUAUCUGGUGCAGCUGCUUGUUGGUUGCUUUGCUCUGAUGACUAUGCCACAAGUUAUCGAAGGCGAGUUUGUGUGUGUUUGCAAAGACACAUGUGAUGACUGUUUCCCAGAGGACCAUGGCAAAUGUCCAGUGGGGGAGGGCGGACAAGGUCGUCAUUGUUGUCUCGAAUUAGGGCAGAUCGAUGAGUGAACGCAACGAUAUCGCCUCGACGACGUGUAAAGGAUUUCAUCAUUAUACUUUAUCCCUUCUUGUCUGUAUUGUGAAUGUAGUAAUAAACAAGCGA